UGUAGUCAUAUGCUUGUCUCAAAGAUUAAGCCAUGCAUGUCUAAGUAUAAGCAAUCUAUACAGUGAAACUGCGAAUGGCUCAUUAAAUCAGUUAUCGUUUAUUUGAUAGUACCUUACUACUUGGAUAACCGUGGUAAUUCUAGAGCUAAUACAUGCUAAAAACCUCGACUUCGGAAGGGGUGUAUUUAUUAGAUAAAAAACCAAUGCCCUUCGGGGCUCCUUGGUGAUUCAUGAUAACUUAACGAAUCGCAUGGCCUUGUGCCGGCGAUGGUUCAUUCAAAUUUCUGCCCUAUCAACUUUCGAUGGUAGGAUAGUGGCCUACCAUGGUUUCAACGGGUAACGGGGAAU
This 348-nucleotide ribosomal RNA is filed under the name uncultured fungus. Its description in RNAcentral is "SSU rRNA". It matches the Rfam family "Eukaryotic small subunit ribosomal RNA", at positions 21 to 370 of the family's 1831-position model. Lineage: Eukaryota; Fungi. The record is from RNAcentral.